AUUUGCUUUUAUUUGGGUUAUUUUGCCGAUCUGAUUAAUCGGAUCGUCGUGGAUUCGCCGGCGUAUCUUUGCGAGGCCGUUUGAUUGUGAUUCGGGUUUGGUUUUCUGUUGGUGAUUUUGAUCCGGCAUGGUACUAGGGUUUGCUAAUCGGCUGAUUCUUCGGCGAAGGUAUGUUAUAUGACAAUUUGUUGUUCUGUUCUUUUGGCUGAUUCUAAGCAGUGUCUGGUAAACCUUCUCUCUGUUCUGCUGAGUAAAAUGUUUUAAUGUAUCUUUUAAAUCACUAUUUGGUACUUUUUGUUUAUGGUUUUAGGAAAGGUUUCAUCUUUAUUUUAUGGAGCUAAGCUAAUUGUGCAACUACAACGAUUGAUCUGAUUUUACUAGAGCUUAUGCACACCUGGAUUAUGUGGAUAGGAUCGCCAAUUGCUUAAGCUAGAGAUCUCGGUUGGAUCUGACGACAGGAAGAUAAUUUAUUUUGUGAUAUGAUAAUUAGCUUAUCGAUUUUUCUUUUGUUUCUGAUUCUGUAAUAUGUUGAUAUAUUCUUAUACAAUCAUAAUCCUUCUCAUUCAAUUUUCAGAUUUCUUGUUUAUAUGAC
RNAcentral lists this long non-coding RNA (592 nucleotides) under Erythranthe guttata (spotted monkey flower). Its description in RNAcentral is "long non-coding RNA (EGUT_LNC003438)". Lineage: Eukaryota; Viridiplantae; Streptophyta; Magnoliopsida; Lamiales; Phrymaceae. The record is from RNAcentral.